This is a small nuclear RNA of Gregarina niphandrodes, 134 nucleotides long. It matches the Rfam family "U4 spliceosomal RNA". Rfam says of the family: U4 small nuclear RNA (U4 snRNA) is a component of the major U2-dependent spliceosome. The structure of U4 snRNA from yeast and human has been reported. U4 snRNA presents a k-turn RNA motif in the 5p-SL related to recognition of Snu13 protein. Lineage: Eukaryota; Apicomplexa; Conoidasida; Eugregarinorida; Gregarinidae. The record is from Rfam.
AUCCUUGGACAGGGGCGGUAGUAUUGCAGAUGACGUUUACUGCGGAUUGCAUACUAAUCGCUGAUUGAAAACUUAAGUCCGAUUCCCGUGUAGGGCCUAACAGCACUACCACUUUCUGGAGCCCUUCGGGGUGG